Molecule: long non-coding RNA, 368 nt
Organism: Exaiptasia diaphana
Lineage: Eukaryota; Metazoa; Cnidaria; Anthozoa; Actiniaria; Aiptasiidae
Exons: 3
Source: RefSeq, a predicted model, not a curated record
GGGAUUUGUGUUCCCCCGAGUUUUGUGUUUCCCCGAACACUGGGCACUAGUGUUAUGUGUUUCCCCUCCCCUCCCCAUCCAAUUAUCAUUUACAAUGGGGGACCCCCAGUAAUAAAUUAGCCAGUCAUUCAUAGGAGAAUUCGUGCGGUUAAAACCUUAAAAUCUUCAAUUUUUUGCUGAGAUUUGGAAUAUCGUCAGCGAGUGUUCUUCAUCGAUCGAAUAUCAGAUGCCAGUAGGACCAAUAGGUUAUAUUAAUGUGAGAUUUCAUGUCAAAUWAUGUCUCCUGGUGAAGUUCCAGCACCAUAACCCUUCUGGCCGCAUUGAUGCUUGGCUGCUUAAUCACUGGGAUGUGAACUGCAAGAGAUCUA